Molecule: RNase P RNA, 405 nt
Filed under: Gemmobacter sp.
Lineage: Bacteria; Pseudomonadati; Pseudomonadota; Alphaproteobacteria; Rhodobacterales; Paracoccaceae
Description: RNase P RNA component class A
Rfam family: Bacterial RNase P class A
About the family: Ribonuclease P (RNase P) is a ubiquitous endoribonuclease, found in archaea, bacteria and eukarya as well as chloroplasts and mitochondria.
Source: RNAcentral
GCGGAUGGUCGGAUGACCGCGUGCCGCAAGGCGCGAGGAAAGUCCGGACUCCAUGAAGCAAGGGUGCCGGGUAACGCCCGGCGGGGGCAACCCCAGGGAAAGCGCCACAGAGAACAGACCGCCCCGCUUGCGGGGUAAGGGUGAAACGGUGGAGUAAGAGCCCACCGCGGGACUGGCGACAGGACCGGCACGGCAAGCCCCACCCGGAGCAAUGCCGAAUAGGGGCCUCGUGCGGAAAGGUCCGGAACCACAGGGGCGACCCUGCCGGAGACCUCUGCAGGGAUGCUUCAGCCUGGAGGCCCGGGUUGGCAGCUGGAUCCCGUCCGCAAGGGCGGGGGCAGAUGAAUGGUCAUCCAGAGGGGGCGAUCCCUUGGACAGAAUCCGGCUUACAGGCCAUCCGCGCAA